This is a long non-coding RNA of Aedes albopictus (Asian tiger mosquito), 1653 nucleotides long. RefSeq lists it as uncharacterized. The record is from RefSeq and is a predicted model, not a curated record. The transcript has 3 exons. Lineage: Eukaryota; Metazoa; Arthropoda; Insecta; Diptera; Culicidae.
UUCUUACCGGACCCAACUAACAAUCGCAAGCCGCAAACCAGCAUGCAUGCUGAAUUGUUGCUUUAUAAUAGUAAUGAUAGCUGAACUAAAAUUAUGCUGUACACAUUACUGUACAAAUGUUUUUUCAAUUGAAAAAGUAGCCAAUGUUCAACCUUUCGUAUCGGUAUCAACAAUUAUAAAUUUUAACACUUUUCAAGCGUUUAAUAAUAUUUUUAUUCGACUUGCAGUUAUUUCCCCGCAUAGACAAAUACAGUUUGCCAUACGGUCUGAACAGUAAACGUGUUCUAAAUAGUAUGGUUAAUGUGUCACAUAUUGUUGUUCUUAUGUUCAACAAUAUUAAACUGAAAGCUAUGUACCGUAAAUAACAGUAUGGAUAGCCCAUACCAAGCGUUACCAAUAUGUUACAUUGUGCAUACAUUGUGAAACAGUAUAUAAAUGGGAACUUGAAUUGAAUAAUUGCAAUAUGAAAUCACAAUAUAGCAUACGGUUGAUUAUUACGCUUGCACAGCGCACUCACACCUGUUCAUUUCACCAUACAUUACUGCUGUUCAACAUUAUGACAAAAAGUUACACGUGUUUGUAAUUGUGAUCGACUUGUAUCGUGGUGUUUCUUAUUUUCUCGCGGAAUAUUUUAUAAAAGCCUGUUCAAGAUAACGCAAAGUUCGAGAAAAUUUUAUGCGAUUUCUAUUUGAUUUGUUUCUAUAAUCCGAUUAGCAAUAUUUUUCAUUAUUUUUAUUAUAUUUUAUAGUAUCAGCACAUGUACUAUAAUAGCACAGAGAAAAAGACGUAAAGAAGUGAAGUGAAUCUCUGAACAAAAAAAAACAAUUGUUUUUGAUUGCAUUGCGUAUAGGACCGUUUCAAAUGUUACGCGAGUUUCGCAUAACAACAACUAAAAUGUGACAUCAUCAUCGCGGGAAAACGAAAGAAACGCCAGGAACUCAAAUUCGCCAAGAAAAUGAAAAUUCAGCCUCCACCCAGAAGAAGUAGGAUCUUGAAGGUAAGCCCGGUAUGCCAUCGUCGGGUACUCGGAAGAUCUGUGCCAGAUCUGCUGCUAAAGGGCGAUCCUGGAACUAGUUCUAAACAGAUCAACGGAUCUGGGUGUUUAUGGCGUCUUUCGGAAUAUCCGCGACAACUCGGAACCGAUGUCGGAACUGCGUUAUGGAUGGAAGUGGAAUUUUCCCUCGAAUUGUGUGCAAGCCGGGCAUGAUAGCUCACUCGGAACUGACCGACCGACUUCGGCAAGGAAGAGUCAUCAGGCAACAGUUUCGAUGACGAUGAGGAUGAAUUAGAACUACCUAUUUUGAACAACCAGCACCGGCGAAAGCUGCAGGCUCGACUGUAGGGAAAAAAUGUCAGCUCCAGCAGCUAAACCUACAGCAUCUGUGACUGCCAAGCGACCAGUUCCGGCCAACAAGCAAGUCGAGUAAAAACUCUUGCAAGGAGAAAGAGGAACAACCACAGACGAAUUUAUCUUCGUUUGUGGAACAACUGCUUUUGAAGAAACUGUGGUGGUGAUGGCGGUGACUUCUGCCAAGAAAAAUGAGGAAACCUCCAGUGUGGAUUCGCCGGAUUCCGACGCGGAGUCUAAGGAGAAACUAUUGCGGUCUCGGUCAACGGAAAAAGGAUGAAGAAGAGAAGGUAGUGAUGUUGAAU